AGCAGCAGCCGCGGUAAUACGAGGGGGGCAAGCGUUGUUCGGAAUUAUUGGGCGUAAAGGGCGCGUAGGCGGUUUGACAAGUCUUGUGUGAAAUCUCUGGGCUCAACCCAGAGUCUGCACGGGAAACUGUCGGGCUUGAGUAUGGGAGAGGUGAGUGGAAUUUCCGGUGUAGCGGUGAAAUGCGUAGAUAUCGGAAGGAACACCUGUGGCGAAAGCGGCUCACUGGACCAUAACUGACGCUGAGGCGCGAAAGCUAGGGGAGCAAACAGGAUUAGAUACCCCGGUAGUCCCUGUCUCUUAUAU
Molecule: ribosomal RNA, 303 nt
Filed under: uncultured bacterium
Lineage: Bacteria
Description: partial 16S ribosomal RNA
Rfam family: Bacterial small subunit ribosomal RNA
Source: RNAcentral